GGCCUCCCUCUGUGGGGCGAUUGAUGGCAGGGCUCUGUGAUUGAUUGCCCCGCAGAGGGAGGCC
Molecule: non-coding RNA, 64 nt
Organism: Myotis brandtii (Brandt's bat)
Lineage: Eukaryota; Metazoa; Chordata; Mammalia; Chiroptera; Vespertilionidae
Source: Rfam